This 257-nucleotide unclassified non-coding RNA is filed under the name Hevea brasiliensis (rubber tree). The record is from RNAcentral. Lineage: Eukaryota; Viridiplantae; Streptophyta; Magnoliopsida; Malpighiales; Euphorbiaceae.
GUUCAAAUGGCCUACCCUCAAACUAUGCUCAACUGAUUUGAGAAAGCAAAUUUCUAACAAAAAGAGGAGAAAGAAGGAUGCAGCUACUGGUCUCUUUGUUUUUCCAGUCCAAUCUAGGGUUACUGGUGCAAAGUACUCCUACCAGUGGAUGGCACUGGCACAGCAGAAUAAUUGGCAUGUGUUGCUUGAUGCCGGUGCUCUGGGUCCAAAAGAUAUGGAUUCCCUUGGAUUGUCUUUAUUUCGUCCGGACUUUAUAA